AUGACGCUCGACGCGCAGUACCUCCGGGGCACCAUGGCCGCCAUCUACUCGCUGCUCAAGCACGCCUCCUGCCUGGAGUCGCUCUUCUUCCAAUUCCUUGCCGCCGACGGCGGCGCCGCGCCCGGGGUGGGUGAGCUCCGGAGCGCGCUCGCCGCCUCCUUCCCGCCGCUGCGGUUCGAGAUCUACCCGUUCCGGGCCGACGCCGUCACAGACCUCAUCUCCGCCUCGGUGCGCGCCGCGCUCGAGGCGCUGCUCAACUACGCCACGAACUACCUCAUCUUCGCGGGCCGCCGCCGCGCGCCCUGCUACUUCAACAUCGUCGUCAUGGUCAUCGACCUCCGGCGCUGGCACUCGGGGAAGCACCCGCCCGUGCCAUGCGGCGGCGUGUGCCCGCACUGCCGCCGCGACCGCCUCCUCCGCCUCUGCCCCGACUGCGCGCGGACGCGCCCCUGCCCCUGCUCCUGCUGCUUGCUAGCCGCGCUACUGCUUCGUGGCUUGACCGCUGCUCUGCUGCUGCUGACGCCCGCUGCCGUAGCCGGCCGCUACUGUUGCCUGAUGCUGCUGCUCCUUGCUGAUGUCGCCGCCACUGCCUGUGCGCGCCGGUGCCCACUCUGGCCCGUGCUUGUUGGCCGCGACCCGCGCGCCAUGCCCAUCGCUGUUCCCGUCCGCCCCUGGUGCGCUCCCCUUGUGCCCGCCUCUGCCCCGACUGCCAGCUAG
Molecule: ribosomal RNA, 717 nt
Filed under: Triticum aestivum (bread wheat)
Lineage: Eukaryota; Viridiplantae; Streptophyta; Magnoliopsida; Poales; Poaceae
Description: partial small subunit ribosomal RNA
Source: RNAcentral